GGUGAUAAACAUAGCUCAGUGGUAGAGCACUUGCCUAGCAUGUGUGAGGCACUGGGUUUGAUUCUCAGCACCA
RNAcentral lists this transfer RNA (73 nucleotides) under Marmota monax (woodchuck). RNAcentral's name for it is "tRNA.Ala". Lineage: Eukaryota; Metazoa; Chordata; Mammalia; Rodentia; Sciuridae. The record is from RNAcentral.